AUCAAAUGUGGUCGACAAUAAUGAGAGAGAGGGACUACUAUAAAAUAUAAAACUUUGUAUUUUAUUUUGCAGGCAGACAAGACAUUUUGCUCAAGACAAAACAAGACAUUUUGCUCAAGACAAGACAUUUUGCUCGCAGACAAGAGAAUAAUAUGCAGGAAAAUAAUAGUAUUUCCCGUGACCGCGUGUGCAACGGGUCGUGUUCGUCAGCCAUCAAGGCCUCAUACGCUGUUAAGCGUCUUCCCGCGACUGCAUGUGCAACGAUAUUUUCAACCGAUAUCGCAUUUUGUCUCCAGUCUGCUGCAACCAGUUUCUUAUAUGUUUUACAAUUAAUGCGAUAGUACAAUAAAUAACGGAGAAUUGUCCACGCAGCUUUAUCAAAGAAGUGCAGACAUGGGUUUAAGAGUGCCGUUUAACAUAGCAUCGUAUUCCUUGCUGACUUACAUGAGCUGACGCUCAUGUUACUGGAUUAAAGCCAGGAGAAUUUGUACAUACAAUGGGAGACUGUCUACGUCUACGUCAACCAUAUAAGCGCCCUUGAGGAACAAGUAAAACGCGAACCGCGCGAGUUUCCAAACUUAAGGAUAGUUAGAGAAGUUAAAGAUAUUGACGAUUUCAUUGCCGAGGAUUUCGAAUUGAUAGAUUACAAUCCAUACUCCAAACCCUACAUGAAGAUGGCUGUGUUAAAUAAAACGGUUGCAAAACUGUUGAGUCUGCUGAACGCAGCCAUUGAUAGAUUUAAAAAAAAAACAAAAAGCAAGAACGAGAAAGCAGUCGUGUAACUCUUGUGAAACAAAUGAAGAUAUAUCUACAACAUUCUUUUUUUCUGCGUCUCCAUUGUGUGCAGUUGAAGUGGUCGAAGUUUUUCGUCCUUCGUGGAAAAACAAAUCUUUAUAAAAGCUAUUGGAUUACAAGGCUAUUGGAAAUUAGUAUUCCUAUACGAAGGAAUUAAAGGAGUCAAGGAGGUUUAAAUAAAGCCUACGUUACAUCUACACGGACAAAAGGCUUUUUAAGAAAAGUGACUAAUUACAGAAACUCAAAAACAAGUAUUGAAAGAAUAAAGAAAAAAGAGAAAAUAAAAGAAUGGAC
This is a long non-coding RNA of Trachymyrmex cornetzi, 1089 nucleotides long. RefSeq lists it as uncharacterized. The transcript is spliced from 3 exons. The record is from RefSeq and is a predicted model, not a curated record. Lineage: Eukaryota; Metazoa; Arthropoda; Insecta; Hymenoptera; Formicidae.